Long non-coding RNA from Chiroxiphia lanceolata (lance-tailed manakin), 340 nucleotides. RefSeq lists it as uncharacterized. The record is from RefSeq and is a predicted model, not a curated record. The transcript has 3 exons. Lineage: Eukaryota; Metazoa; Chordata; Aves; Passeriformes; Pipridae.
CUUCCACUAGAUCAGGUCUCUCCAAGACCCUUGGACACUUCCAGGGAUGGGGGAGUCCACAAAAUAGACCUCUCACUGUGGACUUCAAGAAAAGUGGGAAGUGAUGCCCAAGUCCUUAAAGGGUGGCUACAAGCAGCAGGAGGAGGAAGGAUCUCUCUUCACAAGGAGAAGACACAUAAAGCCUCCAAGUUACAACAGGGGAGGUUUUGUUUCAAUAUAAGAAAGAAAUUCCUUAAGUGACAAGAGUGAGCACCAAGGUGGAUUGAGGACUUUCCUCUGCCAAGACCGUCCCAGUAGAUGAGAUGGUGAGAGGGUUGGUGGGAAACAUUCCGCACAGAAC